UCUGGUGUCAGCCGCCGCGGUAAAACCAGCACCUCAAGUGGUCAGGAUGAUUAUUGGGCCUAAAGCAUCCGUAGCCGGCUCUAUAAGUUUUCGGUUAAAUCUGUACGCUUAACGUACAGGCUGCCGGGAAUACUGCAGAGCUAGGGAGUGGGAGAGGCAGACGGUACUCGGUAGGAAGGGGUAAAAUCCUUUGAUCUAUUGAUGACCACCUGUGGCGAAGGCGGUCUACCAGAACACGUCCGACGGUGAGGGAUGAAAGCUGGGGGAGCAAACCGGAUUAGAUACCCGGGUAGUCCCAGCUGUAAACUAUGCAAACUCAGUGAUGCAUUGGCUUGUGGCCAAUGCAGUGUUGCAGGGAAGCCGUUAAGUUUGCCGCCUGGGAAGUACGUACGCAAGUAUGAAACUUAAAG
RNAcentral lists this ribosomal RNA (410 nucleotides) under uncultured Nitrososphaerota archaeon. RNAcentral describes it as "bacterial SSU rRNA". It matches the Rfam family "Archaeal small subunit ribosomal RNA", at positions 451 to 861 of the family's 1478-position model. Lineage: Archaea; Thermoproteati; Nitrososphaerota. The record is from RNAcentral.